AAGCGUGCGCAGGCGGUUUUGUAAGACUGUCGUGAAAUCCCCGGGCUCAACCUGGGAAUGGCGAUGGUGACUGCAAGGCUAGAGUUUGGCAGAGGGGGGUAGAAUUCCACGUGUAGCAGUGAAAUGCGUAGAUAUGUGGAGGAACACCGAUGGCGAAGGCAGCCCCCUGGGUCAAAACUGACGCUCAUGCACGAAAGCGUGGGGAGCAAACAGGAUUAGAUACCCCUGGU
RNAcentral lists this ribosomal RNA (230 nucleotides) under uncultured bacterium. RNAcentral describes it as "partial 16S ribosomal RNA". It matches the Rfam family "Bacterial small subunit ribosomal RNA", at positions 563 to 791 of the family's 1533-position model. The record is from RNAcentral.